CAGCCGCCACGGUAAUACAGAGGGUGCAAGCGUUAAUUGGAAUUACUGGGCGUAAAGCGCGCGUAGGUGGUUUGUUAAGUUGGAUGUGAAAUCCCCGGGCUCAACCUGGGAACUGCAUCCAAAACUGGCAAGCUAGAGUAUGGUAGAGGGUGGUGGAAUUUCCUGUGUAGCGGUGAAAUGCGUAGAUAUAGGAAGGAACACCAGUGGCGAAGGCGACCACCUGGACUGAUACUGACACUGAGGUGCGAAAGCGUGGGGAGCAAACAGGAUUAGAUACCCCCGUAGUCCCUGUCUCUUAUAC
This 301-nucleotide ribosomal RNA is filed under the name uncultured bacterium. RNAcentral describes it as "partial 16S ribosomal RNA". It matches the Rfam family "Bacterial small subunit ribosomal RNA", at positions 509 to 807 of the family's 1533-position model. The record is from RNAcentral.